This 519-nucleotide ribosomal RNA is filed under the name Ehrlichia sp. Its description in RNAcentral is "bacterial SSU rRNA". It matches the Rfam family "Bacterial small subunit ribosomal RNA", at positions 193 to 732 of the family's 1533-position model. Lineage: Bacteria; Pseudomonadati; Pseudomonadota; Alphaproteobacteria; Rickettsiales; Anaplasmataceae. The record is from RNAcentral.
CCUGCGGGGGAAAGAUUUAUCGCUAUUAGAUGAGCCUACGUUAGAUUAGCUAGUUGGUAAGGUAAUGGCUUACCAAGGCUGUGAUCUAUAGCUGGUCUGAGAGGACGAUCAGCCACACUGGAACUGAGAUACGGUCCAGACUCCUACGGGAGGCAGCAGUGGGGAAUAUUGGACAAUGGGCGAAAGCCUGAUCCAGCUAUGCCGCGUGAGUGAAGAAGGCCUUCGGGUUGUAAAACUCUUUCAAUAGGGAAGAUAAUGACGGUACCUAUAGAAGAAGUCCCGGCAAACUCCGUGCCAGCAGCCGCGGUAAUACGGAGGGGGCAAGCGUUGUUCGGAAUUAUUGGGCGUAAAGGGCACGUAGGUGGACUGGUAAGUUAAAAGUGAAAUACCAAAGCUCAACUUUGGGGCUGCUUUUAAUACUGCCAGACUAGAGGUCGAAAGAGGAUAGCGGAAUUCCUAGUGUAGAGGUGAAAUUCGUAGAUAUUAGGAGGAACACCAGUGGCGAAGGCGGCUAUCUGG